UUACACAGAACCAUGCC
RNAcentral lists this microRNA (17 nucleotides) under Populus x canadensis (hybrid black poplar). RNAcentral's name for it is "PC-3p-142486_6". Lineage: Eukaryota; Viridiplantae; Streptophyta; Magnoliopsida; Malpighiales; Salicaceae. The record is from RNAcentral.